UGGGGGUGAAGGAGAACGGCAGCCCAGGCAGAGGCACACCCGCACUCUGGGCACACAGCAUCCAGCAGGAUGAGGCUCCAGGAGCAGAAGGAUCAGAUGGAGGCAGGCAGCUACAGCCUCAGUACUUGGGCCUUUUCACCUCCACCCCAUCAGCCUCCAGCUUCUUCCUCUUCUCAAUGAUCGCACUGAUCUUCUUCCACUGCCGGUCCAGCUCUGCCUUGUCAUUCGUCUCUUUGAAGCGACGGGUUUUGCGUCCCUCAGACAUUUUGAUCCCAUACUGGAAGGCUGCCUUGGGCAGAGCCUCUUUGUUGUUCAUGUAUUCACUGUAUUCCUCCUGGGUAUCGAAGUCCCAGCGGCCCAAAGGCCCUUUCUUGUUACCCUGAUCCAUCUUGCUGUAGUCCACCUCUUCAUCACUGUCCACAGCCAUAUCAUCCAUUGUAGCAGGGUAGCACUCGGCGUAGCUGUUUGACAUGCCAAAGAAGUCUCCCAGCUGCUUCUUGUCUUCUGGCUUCUUCAAUGUCUCUGUUCCUUCCCAGCCAGCAGCUCCAGCAAACUUCUCAUUGAUAGACUUGAUGAGCUCCUUGGCAGAGCCAGGUCCUUUGUCAAUGUCUGUGGGCUCGUCAUCAGCCUUGGGCUUCUCAAAGUAGCUGUGCCUCUUUUUCUCCUCCUCCCGGUCCCGCUCCCGGUCCCUCUCGCGCUCCCGGUCACGCUCCCGGUCCCUGUCACGCUCCCGGUCCCUCUCGCGGUCUCUCUCACGGUAUCUCUCCCGCUCCUUAUCCCGUGGCAUCUUUGCAGUGGAGGGUACAUAAUCCCCAAUAUCUUCAAAGAUGUUCAUAUCAGCUUCAGGGGGUUUCUUCUCAUCCAGCUUCCCUUUGUCUUUCUUCUUCAGCUUCUUGUUGCGGGUUCCUUGCCUGAGAUAAGAGAGGAUCUGUGUCAGCUUGCUGAUGACGAUGUCAUUUGUGGUCAGUGUAGUCUGUGCCUCCAUGGUGGGGCAGUCGGCCUUGCUCCGGAUCAGCGUGGUGGGGAUAUCAGUGUCAGCGUACUCAUCGUCCAGAUCUACCACAUAGGCCAUCCUCCCCGGCAGGAACAGCUCAUUCCGCUCGUAGGCUUUGUUCUUGAACAGAAUGCGGUAGAUAUUUCGACCCAACCGAGUCUUAAAUUCAAUUUUGUUCUCAGGAUCUUCAUCUUUCUUGGUUUCUUUCUGAGGCUUCUCCAUCAUUUCUUCCUCUUCCUUCUCUUUGCUGGCAAUCUCAGCCCGUACCUUCUGCAGCAGGGCAAAGUCCAGACCCUUCACCAAGUGAGUGUGCUCCAUGUCACCACCCAAGAACUUGGACUCCUGGAUCAACUGUCUCCUCUUCUCUGCAGCAGAUUUAUCCGCCUCUGCAGUGGGCCCCACAGCCCUGUAGUUUGCAGUUGUGCUGAUCAGCUCUGUUUCCUCAUAGUCCUUGUUCACACCAUCUCUUCUCUCCUUGGCUCGAUCCCUGUACUUCUCAGCCAGCUCUCUUUCACGCUCUAUCUCCUGCUGGCGCAGCUUUGCGUAAUAGCUUUUCUUCUUCCUUCUACGAGCAGCUGGAUCUUCAUCUUCAUUGUACUCUCGGGGCAUCUCAUGGUGGCGAGAUUUGGACGGCGGCGCUGAUGUUGGCGUCGCCCGAGGGGUCAUGAGAAGCUUUCGAAAGUCUUCAUUGGUGAGUUUGGACUGGUGGAAGGAGUGCGCGUCGUCCACAUCGUGGCCAUCGGGGGCCAGGGGGUUGGAGAACGGCUCACCGUCCCUCUCCGGCAUCGCGACCCGCUCGGCUCCCCUCAGCUGCCG
This 1810-nucleotide long non-coding RNA is filed under the name Gallus gallus (chicken). The record is from RNAcentral. Lineage: Eukaryota; Metazoa; Chordata; Aves; Galliformes; Phasianidae.